Molecule: ribosomal RNA, 253 nt
Filed under: uncultured bacterium
Lineage: Bacteria
Description: partial 16S ribosomal RNA
Rfam family: Bacterial small subunit ribosomal RNA
Source: RNAcentral
UACGAAGGUGGCUAGCGUUGCUCGGAAUGACUGGGCGUAAAGGGCGCGUAGGCGGUUUUGACAGUCAGACGUGAACUUCCUGGGCUCAACCUGGGGGCUGCGUUUGAUACGUCGGGACUGGAGUGCGGAAGAGGGUCGUGGAAUUCCCAGUGUAGAGGUGAAAUUCGUAGAUAUUGGGAAGAACACCGGUGGCGAAGGCGGCGACCUGGUCCGUGACUGACGCUGAGGCGCGAAAGCGUGGGGAGCAAACAUG